This 1493-nucleotide long non-coding RNA is filed under the name Gossypium barbadense (sea-island cotton). Its description in RNAcentral is "long non-coding RNA (GBAR_LNC004685)". The record is from RNAcentral. Lineage: Eukaryota; Viridiplantae; Streptophyta; Magnoliopsida; Malvales; Malvaceae.
AGCGAACUAAAAUGAAAUAGUGUACAAAUUUUUGGGGAAAAAUUAAAAUAAAACACAUGGAUGCCAAUGGGGGUCUGCUGAAAUGUGGUGCAAAAAGUGAGGGAUUAAUCGUGGAAAUUUCCCAUUUGACAUACAAAUGCACAAAUUGGGUUUUGGCAUAUAUCAACACGUGGUCCCCACCCUUAAACACCACCGUUUCAAUUUAUUUCAAAAUGGCAGGAAAUUGAAUGGCAAUUGGCCAUUUCUUCAAGCCACAAUUAAGGAAAAAACCCUAAUACCCCAUACUUUCCCCUCAUUUGGCCGAUUCUCUCCCCCCCUCCCAAACACUAAGCUACACAUUCAAGCUUGGGGAAUGAUUUUUCAGCCUUGAAAUCUCUUCUUGGCUUCGAUUCAAACAAAGCAAAAAGGAGAUUUAUGGCGUAUUUGCCAGGUAAGAACUUCUUCCUUUUCUUUUUAUUUGCUUUCAAACAUAAAAACGAUAAACCCAAAAGAAUGAAGAACAAAGAAAGAAAAAAAAGCAUAUAGAGAUUUAAAUCAAAAAUCACCUUCUCCAAAAAAAUUGCUUUUGAAUUCUCUAUUCAAUAUGAGUAUGUAGUAUCUCUAAAAAAUACCUGAGGCAAUACAAUAGCCUUGUAUGGCUUUAUAUAGCCGAAAUAAAAAAUAAAAAUACAUCAUUUUUGCUAUUUUGUGCUGCUGUCAUUCCUUCAUUUUUUUGCAGGUACCAGGUAUUGUGGCAAGGCAGCUGGCAUGUACGGGCGUGGGGCGUACGGAGUUCGUGGAGAUCGGGGCUGUUGCGGCGCAAGCAUAAGCUGCUAGGGUUCCCGGCUAUGCUUCUGUUUUGGGCCAUGGGGUGUUUGUUAGUUUGGGCUGUAAUUUGAAUUGGACAUUUUAAUUUAGUGUUUUUUUUGUCUGAUUUGGGCUUAUUGGGUUUAAUUUGGGUUAUGUUUUUAUUUUGGUUUUGGGCCCGGGCAGAUUUGGCCCAUUACAUGUUGCAUCAUAUUAUUUCAUGUUCAUUUAUCCUUUCCUAUGCGAAUGCUUCGAUACAAUGCAUUAAAUUUUUCAUCUAUUUUAAAACAAAUAAACGUGUUUUGAGCAAAUUUUUAAUUUUCUUUAUUAUUCAAAAAUUUUGAAAUAAGGUAAUAUCCAAUAUUUAGGAAUUCAGAAAAUCGUGCUCAAUCGUGCUGGGUAUGAUUUUUUUGGUGAACUAAAUAUUUAGAUAACCUUUUAUAAUUUUAGUGUACGAGUUUUCAAAAGUAAAAAAUCAAUCGUAUUUUUUUAAAGGUAUAAAGGAUCGUAUCCAAUCGUGCUGGGUAUGAUAUUGCUUAUCUUUGAAACGAGAGAAUUUUGACCGCUAAUUUGAACUAUUCAAACAUUUUUAAAAAGAUCAUACUUUGAAAAAUCUUUUCUUUAAAAACCUUUUGGUAUAAGGAUAGCAUCAAAUCAAUUUGGUACCAAUUUGUGGGCGUAAUGAGGGUGCUAACCCUUCCUUAUGC